GAAGUAUAAAAUUAAUGGCUCAAAAAAUCUAAUUAAAAAUUAUAGGAGCCCCAAAUUAAUUAUUUUACAAUCGAGACUUUAGAAGCCAUCUCAGAUUUUGAGAAGUGUUUAUUCAUCUAGACGUUGUGCCAGCAGCGUCACUAAUUCCAGCAGAAUGGCUUUUCAAGUGUUUCUGCACAGGAUCUGGUGCUACAUUCUUGAUAUUCUUUUCCUGCUGUAGAAAUUUAGUUUAAGAGACAAAAAACUACACGUUUUUGUGAUUUAAAUGCACCAGAGCACUGCGACGUAGGGUUAAGAGUCGGUUACAUAUUUCAGGUAUUGGAGCCAGACAGCAAUUCAGUCUAAUAAUGUGCAUGUCUACUAUUUCCUGAAAAUUUGCUGCUACAUGACCCCUUAUAUGCAUAUGCGUGACCCUACAACAAACUCUGUUAUCUGGUGCCAAAAAAUGGCAUUAGCUUCAGCUGCUUUAUUAAAUUGCUACCCAAGCUGGCUCGCAUUCACAGUGAACAGGACGCGGCGUAUCCGCAGCUACCGCCUGCUGUGCCAGCCAACAGGGGAGCCUCCGCUGCCGGCCGCAUUUGCUGGAGUUAGGUACAGGGGAAGAGCGAAAGCCCUUUGAGUGCUGGGCUGGGGUGUUCUGCACGCUGCUACGAGGCUGCUUGUCCUGCUCUCUGAAGAAGGCACUCCGGGCGUGCUGCCUCUUGCGUGCCGUGAGCCCCACGAGUCCUGCUCAGGGCCCCGUCUCGCCCGGUCACUGGUGAUGCCGCGUAGUCGGCAGAAAGCGGUCUGGUUUUUAAGGAGCACUUGUCAAUUAGGCUGCAGCUGUGCCUGGCUGUACUGUUCCCAACUAAAUCUUCUGUCCUGGAGACAAGGUUAAGGAAGUAGGUCCUUGUCUCCCUUCAAGGAGAUGAGGUUAGAGAAGUACGGCCUGUAAUUAAUGUCUAGCUUUUAAUAUUAUUGGCUGAAAACAGUUGCAAAUGUGACAGCGGACAGCAACUGCCAAGAUACAGAUACAGUAAACUCAGAAAAGAUCUCAGUCAUUAGAAGACCACCAGAAUAAUUUGAAAAGGAGAAGGAAGAAGACAAGGUUCUGUUCUUCUCCCAUUACUCCGUUGCUGGUGGAUCACAAGUUACCACUCUGAGCAUUCACCGUUUCCUGGCAAUCUUUCUUAAUUUGAAAGAGGCCUCACUCCUUUGGCUUUACCCCGUGGCUGUGAAAUUGCCUGAGCUGUUAAGUUUUAUUUGCAGUGUUUCCUGAACAUUUGUUCUUUCAGAGACAAAAUAACUGUGGUAUUCACAGAGACCUUUUUGUGCUUGGAACAAGAAUUUCAUCAACAGUUGCUGAAUUUUUCAAAGUGAAGGAAAAAGGACAUUAGAUAGAAGCAGAAACUCUUCUUUACACCAUACCAUCUGGUUACCACAUAAAUGAAGACUCAACUCAUGGAGGAUAUAUACCAAAUGCAUGAUGAUAGACUUGACAGCCUUGCCUGACUGGGAUGGAGAUUCCUGAUGGGAGAAUGUGAAAGUUAAAAGUUAAGCAGUAUCUGAAGACUCUUGAUUUCUGAAGUCCAAAUGAUUCUGUACAGGGCAGGACUUCUGAAGUGUCUGAAGUGUGAAGCUGCAUCAGUGGAGGGUCAGUUUGGAUGUUAGGGUAAGGUUCUUCACCAAGAGGGUGAUCAAGCACUGGAGCAGGCUCCCCAGGGCAGUGGUCACAGCACCGAGCCUGCUGGAGUUCAAGAAGUGUUUGCACAAAGCUCAAAGACAUAGGGUAUGAUUUUUAGGUGGUCCUGUGUGAGGCAGGAGCUGGACUUGAUGAUCUUGUGAGUCCCUUCCAACCCAACAUGUUCUCUGAUUCCAUGAUUCUAAGUGUCCUCCCUGGACAGAAAAAGUACUGCUAGUGUGAAAAACUAAGUCUAAACUAAGAUUAAAUCCAUACUUGGGGGUCCGUAGUCAACUACAAAGGCUCACUAUGGACAAGUUACUGCAAGAUGUAGAAAAGAGAAACUCUUUUCUAAGUUUUGGGAAACUCUUUUUAUAUUCUCUAGUGACCAUGCUGCUGUCUGCUGAAGAAAGAAGAUGAAAAUUAUAUUGCUAGAGAACGUGUGCAGGAAUUCCUCAGUGGUAACUAUGCACAGUUCACUAACUAAUGCCUCUCUUUCUGCAGUCCCCAGAGGUUGAAACAGUUAGUUGAAUGAGCUUUUAUCUGAACAGGGCAUAAAACACCCAUCAGCUGGUAUGCUUCUGAUAUAAUUUUAAGUGUUUUGCUUAAAAAUACAUAACUGUGAAUAUUGAACUCCUUAGAUGAUUCCUUCAUGGAUGAAUAAAGAAGCUUCAGAUUCAUCUGUUCCAGAUAAGUCAGGUGUCUGUAAAGAAUCUGUGCAUGUGGUACCCACUCUUUGCACUGAAGAAACAAGAGAAAGUGCUUCUGUGAAGGGAGUGGAGUGCUUGUCCUUGUCAAGAGUCUCUGAAGGCAUCCCAGGUGAAUUUUGUUUCAAAAGUAAAUAUGAAAACUCUUUCCAUUUUCUAUGAAUCCUCACUUCCUAAGACAGACUUGUAGUAACCUCUCAUGUAACCUUGACCUCAGUUGCAAGCAGCUUUUCCAAAACGUUCGUCUAAGGAAAGAAAAAUCUAAAGAAUCUCUCAUUACUGCUGCUGCAGCUAGAAGAUCCUUUUUCUUUCCCUACAUCCUAGGAGCUCAUCUAACUGCUAUGUGUCUAGUCCUACCUUUUGGGAAAUGGUAACAAUGUGAACCUGCAAAAAAUAAAGGAAAGGGAAAAGAUGUUUUUUUUUUUCUUCUGACACCUGCACAAAUCAGAGGCUGUGCAUGUACAGUGUCUUCAGUACUGCCACUGCAGUGACUGCAGGUCAUGUUUGGAGUGGUAAGCUUCAUCAUCAGCACUAUAGAAUUCCUAAAUAUUUACUGGGAAUGUUGGAUUUGCUGUUUCUGCAGUGAAGCUUAUAAAUUGCAGUAUGAACAACCAGGAGAAGACAUGCAAAUAUAUUUAUUCGUAUGUGUAAAUUAAGAUAAAUAGGUGCAUGUUCAUGUUUCAUGGUGAUUCAUGAAUCAGGUGAUUCAAUGCAGGAAGAAUCACCUCUCUCCUUGCUAUCAAAAGCAAUGCAUCAGAUAGGCACCUGUUUCUCAAAUGAUAAUAACAUGAUGAUAUACUCUUUCAUUAUACAUGUAUAAGAAGAGAUGUGUUUCUGAGUCUCCUUGUAAUGCUUUGGUACUUUCUUCAUUCCCAUAAAAUUGCAAUUUCCAAAUUGUGAGAGACUUUUUGUGGUAUUUGGGGUGGGCUAGGCAGAGAGAAAACCAGCCAUUUCAAUCCAUUACUUUUGUUAUUUCUUCUUCUUGCAGAAACUUCAGCCCUCUAGCUGCUCGUGAGGUAGUAACGUAUGUGUAACUGUUAGUCUGACUGAGCAUGCCUCUGGUUUUUGCUGUUCUUUUUGAGAUAGCUUAAGAAGCAAUACAUUUAUGUGGAAUAUACCUUAUUCUGAAGAUCUAAAUAAAACCCAUGACUGUGCAGAGGGAAGAUUUUUGAAUGCUGCAAACAAACAGAGGUCUGCACUGUUAUUUUUCUCCCGAAGUGCAGUGCUGACUGACUGGUCUACUGAAAUGAAUUUUUCCUUUAAUUUUGCACUUUUUCAUAAUAUAAGUGUACAAGGGAAUGUGACAAUAUGCUCGCAUCAUAACUGCUUCCCCUAAUGUAAUGCAUAUGAACUAUAGUCUAUAAAAAUACCAUGAAACAAGAGGUCUAGAGUUCAGCAAAAAUAAGAUCAGUAUUUAUGUGGAAGGAUUGUUGUCAUUCUGUGUCGUUUAUUGUAGCUGCUGGCAGCCUAGAAGUUUAUUGCAUUCGUUCUCCCUGUUCUGCAAUACUGACAAGUCAGCCUGAUCCUGUACCCUUUAGAGUAAGUGCAAAUUUAGAAAAUGUGUCUGCAUUGUGGCAAAUAAAGGCAGCCAGAGCUGAGAAAAGUGAA
Non-coding RNA from Anas platyrhynchos (mallard), 3975 nucleotides. NCBI's taxonomy places the organism in Eukaryota, Metazoa, Chordata, Aves, Anseriformes, Anatidae. The record is from RefSeq and is a predicted model, not a curated record.